This 995-nucleotide ribosomal RNA is filed under the name uncultured bacterium. Its description in RNAcentral is "bacterial SSU rRNA". It matches the Rfam family "Bacterial small subunit ribosomal RNA", at positions 356 to 1376 of the family's 1533-position model. The record is from RNAcentral.
GGGGAAUAUUGCACAAUGGGGGAAACCCUGAUGCAGCGACGCCGCGUGGAGGAAGAAGGUCUUCGGAUUGUAAACUCCUGUUGUUGGGGAAGAUAAUGACGGUACCCAACAAGGAAGUGACGGCUAACUACGUGCCAGCAGCCGCGGUAAAACGUAGGUCACAAGCGUUGUCCGGAAUUACUGGGUGUAAAGGGAGCGCAGGCGGGAAGACAAGUUGGAAGUGAAAUCUAUGGGCUCAACCCAUAAACUGCUUUCAAAACUGUUUUUCUUGAGUAGUGCAGAGGUAGGCGGAAUUCCCGGUGUAGCGGUGGAAUGCGUAGAUAUCGGGAGGAACACCAGUGGCGAAGGCGGCCUACUGGGCACCAACUGACGCUGAGGCUCGAAAGUGUGGGUAGCAAACAGGAUUAGAUACCCUGGUAGUCCACACCGUAAACGAUGAUUACUAGGUGUUGGAGGAUUGACCCCUUCAGUGCCGCAGUUAACACAAUAAGUAAUCCACCUGGGGAGUACGACCGCAAGGUUGAAACUCAAAGGAAUUGACGGGGGCCCGCACAAGCAGUGGAGUAUGUGGUUUAAUUCGACGCAACGCGAAGAACCUUACCAAGUCUUGACAUCCCUUGACAGACAUAGAAAUAUGUAAUCUCUUCGGAGCAAGGAGACAGGUGGUGCAUGGUUGUCGUCAGCUCGUGUCGUGAGAUGUUGGGUUAAGUCCCGCAACGAGCGCAACCCUUAUGGUCAGUUACUACGCAAGAGGACUCUGGCCAGACUGCCGUUGACAAAACGGAGGAAGGUGGGGAUGACGUCAAAUCAUCAUGCCCUUUAUGACUUGGGCUACACACGUACUACAAUGGCGUUAAACAAAGAGAAGCAAGACCGCGAGGUGGAGCAAAACUCAGAAACAACGUCCCAGUUCGGACUGCAGGCUGCAACUCGCCUGCACGAAGUCGGAAUUGCUAGUAAUCGCGGAUCAGCAUGCCGCGGUGAAUACGUUCCCG